Molecule: ribosomal RNA, 3022 nt
Filed under: uncultured bacterium KM3-69-F5
Lineage: Bacteria
Description: bacterial LSU rRNA
Rfam family: Bacterial large subunit ribosomal RNA
Source: RNAcentral
ACUAAGCGCAUAUGUGUGGAUGCCUAGGCGGUAGGAGGCGAUGAAGGACGUUGAAGCCUGCGAUAAGCCUCGGUGAGCUGGCAAACAAGCUUUGACCCGGGGAUGUCCGAAUGGGGAAACCCGACCACUUCGGUGGUCAUCUCUAUCUGAAUACAUAGGGUAGAGAAGCGAACCUGGGGAACUGAAACAUCUAAGUACCCAGAGGAAAAGAAAUCAACCGAGAUUCCCUAAGUAGCGGCGAGCGAACGGGGAAUAGCCCAGUCACAAUCAAUCGACUAAAUCUAGGGGAACAGUCUGGAAAGGCUGGCCGUAGCUGGUGAUAGCCCCGUACCCGAAAGAUGGAAUCGAGGCGUGACAAAGAGUAGGGCGGGGCACGUGAAACCUUGUCUGAACAUGGGGGGACCAUCCUCCAAGGCUAAAUACUACCUACCGACCGAUAGUGAACUAGUACCGUGAGGGAAAGGCGAAAAGAACCCCGGAGAGGGGAGUGAAAUAGAACCUGAAACCGUAUGCGUACAAGCAGUGGGAGCCUGUCUUCGGAUGGGUGACCGCGUACCUUUUGUAUAAUGGGUCAGCGACUUACUUUCAGUGGCAAGCUUAACCGUCUAGGGGAAGCGUAGGGAAACCGAGUCUUAAAUGGGCGAAUUAGUCUCUGGGAGUAGACCCGAAACCGAGCGAUCUAUCCAUGUCCAGGGUGAAGGCAGGGUAAUACCUGCUGGAGGCCCGAACCGGGUAAUGUUGAAAAAUUAUCGGAUGAGGUGUGGAUAGGAGUGAAAGGCUAAUCAAGCUCGGAGAUAGCUGGUUCUCCUCGAAAGCUAUUUAGGUAGCGCCUCGUGUAUCACUCUCGGGGGUAGAGCACUGUUUCGGCUAGGGGGUCAUCCCGACUUACCAAACCGAUGCAAACUCCGAAUACCGAGAAGUGCAAUCACGGGAGACACACGGCGGGUGCUAAGGUUCGUCGUGGAAAGGGAAACAGCCCAGACCGCCAGCUAAGGUCCCAAAAUUAUGGCUAAGUGGGAAACGAUGUAGGAAGGCAGAGACAGCCAGGAGGUUGGCUUAGAAGCAGCCACCCUUUAAAGAAAGCGUAACAGCUCACUGGUCUAGUCGGCCCGCGCGGAAGAUUUAACGGGGCUUAAGCCAUAUACCGAAGCUGCGGAUGCAAGCACUUCACUUUAACUCACUCUAAGUAGUGCGUAUGAGCGCGCACAAAAUUUGCCCUAUUAUUAGUUACCCGUAAGGUAGCGAGCAGGGUGAAUUGUCGCGUCUGCGUCUAAUGAGUGAGCUAAAGGAAGUGCUUGCGUGGUAGAGGAGCGUUCUGUAAGUCUGCGAAGGUGUGCUGUGAGGCAUGCUGGAGAUAUCAGAAGUGCGAAUGCUGACAUGAGUAACGAUAAUGCGGGUGAAAAACCCGCACGCCGAAAACCCAAGGUUUCCUGCGCAACGCUAAUCGGCGCAGGGUUAGUCGGCCCCUAAGGCGAGACCGAAAGGUGUAGUCGAUGGGAAGCAGGUCAACAUUCCUGCACCGUUUGUUACUGCGAUGAGGGGACGGAGAAGGCUAGGUCAGCCGGGUGUUGGUUAUCUCGGUUUAAGCGUGUAGGAAGUGUUCUUAGGCAAAUCCGGGAGCACAAUUUCGAGACGCGAUGACGAGCCCCUUUAUUGGGGUGAAGUGAUUGAUGCCAUGCUUCCAGGAAAAGCCUCUAAGCUUCAGGUAACAGACGACCGUACCCCAAACCGACACAGGUGGGUGAGGAGAGAAUCCUAAGGCGCUUGAGACAACUCGGGUGAAGGAACUAGGCAAAUUGGUACCGUAACUUCGGGAGAAGGUACGCCCUUAUUGGUGAAGAAACUUGCUUUCUGAGCUGGUGAGGGUCUCAGUAACCAGGUGGCUGCGACUGUUUAUUAAAAACACAGCACUCUGCAAACUCGUAAGAGGACGUAUAGGGUGUGACGCCUGCCCGGUGCCGGAAGGUUAAUUGAUGGGGUUAGCCCUUUGGGGCGAAGCUCUUGAUCGAAGCCCCGGUAAACGGCGGCCGUAACUAUAACGGUCCUAAGGUAGCGAAAUUCCUUGUCGGGUAAGUUCCGACCUGCACGAAUGGCGUAACGAUGGCCACACUGUCUCCACCCGGGACUCAGUGAAAUUGAAAUCGCUGUGAAGAUGCAGUGUACCCGCGGCUAGACGGAAAGACCCCGUGCACCUUUACUAUAGCUUUACACUGAAUUUUGACCAUGCUUGUGUAGGAUAGGUGGGAGGCUUUGAAGCGCGAACGCUAGUUUGCGUGGAGCCAACCUUGAAAUACCACCCUAGCCUGUUUGAAGUUCUAACCUAGGUCCGUUAUCCGGAUCGGGGACCGUGUAUGGUGGGUAGUUUGACUGGGGCGGUCUCCUCCCAAAGAGUAACGGAGGAGUGCAAAGGUACUCUCAGCGCGGUCGGUCAUCGCGCAUUGUGUGCAAAGGCAUAAGAGUGCUUGACUGCGAGACAGACAAGUCGAGCAGGAACGAAAGUUGGUCUUAGUGAUCCGGUGGUUCUGUAUGGAAGGGCCAUCGCUCAACGGAUAAAAGGUACGCCGGGGAUAACAGGCUGAUUCCUCCCAAGAGUCCACAUCGACGGAGGAGUUUGGCACCUCGAUGUCGGCUCAUCACAUCCUGGGGCUGUAGCAGGUCCCAAGGGUAUGGCUGUUCGCCAUUUAAAGUGGUACGCGAGCUGGGUUUAGAACGUCGUGAGACAGUUCGGUCCCUAUCUGCCGUGGGCGUUGGAAACUUGAAGGGAGCUGCUCCUAGUACGAGAGGACCGGAGUGGACGUACCUCUGGUGUUCCGGUUGUCACGCCAGUGGCAUUGCCGGGUAGCUAUGUACGGACGGGAUAACCGCUGAAAGCAUCUAAGCGGGAAGCCCCCCCUAAGAUUAGGUUUCCCAGGGGACUCGAUCCCCCUGAAGGGCCGUUGAAGACUACAACGUUGAUAGGCUGGGUGUGUAAGUACAGUAAUGUAUGAAGCUAACCAGUACUAAUUGCCCGUGAGGCUUGACC